UCCGUCAGACGAACGCUGGCGGCGUGCUUAACACAUGCAAGUCGAACGGUGAAGCCCUUCGGGGUGGAUCAGUGGCGAACGGGUGAGUAACACGUGGGCAAUCUGCCCUGCACUCUGGGACAAGCCCUGGAAACGGGGUCUAAUACCGGAUAUUACCUUCCUCUGCAUGGGGGUUGGUGGAAAGCUCCGGCGGUGCAGGAUGAGCCCGCGGCCUAUCAGCUUGUUGGUGGGGUAAUGGCCUACCAAGGCGACGACGGGUAGCCGGCCUGAGAGGGCGACCGGCCACACUGGGACUGAGACACGGCCCAGACUCCUACGGGAGGCAGCAGUGGGGAAUAUUGCACAAUGGGCGAAAGCCUGAUGCAGCGACGCCGCGUGAGGGAUGACGGCCUUCGGGUUGUAAACCUCUUUCAGCAGGGAAGAAGCGCAAGUGACGGUACCUGCAGAAGAAGCACCGGCUAACUACGUGCCAGCAGCCGCGGUAAUACGUAGGGUGCGAGCGUUGUCCGGAAUUAUUGGGCGUAAAGAGCUCGUAGGCGGCCUGUCGCGUCGGAUGUGAAAGCCCGGGGCUUAACCCCGGGUCUGCAUUCGAUACGGGCAGGCUAGAGUGUGGUAGGGGAGAUCGGAAUUCCUGGUGUAGCGGUGAAAUGCGCAGAUAUCAGGAGGAACACCGGUGGCGAAGGCGGAUCUCUGGGCCAUUACUGACGCUGAGGAGCGAAAGCGUGGGGAGCGAACAGGAUUAGAUACCCUGGUAGUCCACGCCGUAAACGUUGGGAACUAGGUGUUGGCGACAUUCCACGUCGUCGGUGCCGCAGCUAACGCAUAAGUCCCCGC
This 834-nucleotide ribosomal RNA is filed under the name Kitasatospora sp. Its description in RNAcentral is "bacterial SSU rRNA". It matches the Rfam family "Bacterial small subunit ribosomal RNA", at positions 20 to 872 of the family's 1533-position model. The record is from RNAcentral. Lineage: Bacteria; Bacillati; Actinomycetota; Actinomycetes; Kitasatosporales; Streptomycetaceae.